CUCACUACAGCUGCAACAUCAGCGCGCCAGCGCAAUCAAGCAUCUGGGACCGAGUCUAGGGGUGUGCACACUCUGGGAUGGAGUAACUGUUGUCUAGCUAUGUUCCCUGGUCACCAGCCAGGAAAUCUGCAGCUCUCCCGGCAUUCUUCCUGCCCCACGGCUGUUCCUGAACAAGCUGUCUGCCCGCCCAGGGGACACAGUCCUGCUGUCAUGUCUAGUCCCAUUGGACACCCCCAUGACCCGCAUUGUCUUCUGCAAAGACGGGAAGGAGAUUUCUGUGCAGCCCAAGGAAGGAAACAAACGUGUCUAUGACUCACCCUACACAGUGUCCAGGGAGAGCGCAGGGGCCUUUUCCUGCCUCUACCAGCUCAAGGACGACAGCAACCAGGCAAACAAUUCGCUCCCGAGUGAUGC
Pelodiscus sinensis (Chinese soft-shelled turtle) is the source of this 414-nucleotide non-coding RNA. The record is from RefSeq and is a predicted model, not a curated record. Lineage: Eukaryota; Metazoa; Chordata; Testudines; Trionychidae.